GGGCGCUUAGCACAGUGGUAGCGCGCACGCUUUGCACAUUCAUUGUACUUGAACUAUGAAGCUAUUGCGUGGAGGCCGUGGGUUCAAUCCCCACAGUGUCCA
Molecule: non-coding RNA, 102 nt
Organism: Coprinopsis sp. MPI-PUGE-AT-0042
Lineage: Eukaryota; Fungi; Basidiomycota; Agaricomycetes; Agaricales; Psathyrellaceae
Source: the annotation of a GenBank genome assembly